Ornithorhynchus anatinus (platypus) is the source of this 138-nucleotide non-coding RNA. The record is from Rfam. NCBI's taxonomy places the organism in Eukaryota, Metazoa, Chordata, Mammalia, Monotremata, Ornithorhynchidae.
CCCCUCUCAGGGUCGCACCUGGAGAGUUUUCAGUCCUCUACCAGUCUCGACUAUGGGAGGGAGAGUCAAGCAGAGGCCUACCGGUUCCAUUCCUUACUUGGGCAGUGGCUAGCAAAUGGAAGACAAUCUGCUACAAGU